Molecule: long non-coding RNA, 644 nt
Organism: Fundulus heteroclitus (mummichog)
Lineage: Eukaryota; Metazoa; Chordata; Actinopteri; Cyprinodontiformes; Fundulidae
Exons: 2
Source: RefSeq, a predicted model, not a curated record
GGACGCCUGGUUAUUUCAGAUGUGACCGAUGAAGACUCUGCAGCCUGGUCCUCGUCAGCCUUCAUCUUUUUCACAUCCGUCCAGCCGAGGCCCGCUCUCUCCUCCUGGUGGCGGCUCUCCGAUGCGAACCCUCGACUCAGACAGACAUUACAUCACCUCGGCACAGAGAUAAAUAAAUAACUAGAUAAAACCUUUGGUCUGCACUCAGCGACGUUAUGCAACAGCUAGCAUUAUUCCACAAUCAAAGGCUCGGGCGAAUCCACCCACACCAGCGCCCCUCCUCCACUACCAGGCCACGGCUGCAGCUAAAAACAUUUCCAGGGCCGCCUCGCUGCGGAGCGCUCACCGGCGCCGUUAUCUAAUCACUAUUGAAUUGUUCCAAAUCAAAUGUGAGGGUGCGAGUCACUCUCCAGGCUCGAUGAACCGCCGCCGCCGCCGCUGCAGCCGCCGACCGCCUCUCUUGCUGCGGCCCCAGGAGGGAAUCGUUGGCAAAGUGGAAGUUUAGCCGCCUUUGUCAGCGGCGAGGGGCGCACAGGUCACCCAGCUACUUUGUUCAGAGACACUUUUGUUGCUGUAAUAUGCUAAUCUGAUGGUUCUGAGCGAGGCUGAGGGUUGGGCUGCCUGGUAAAUGGAUGCAGGGUAGC